ACGCUUGAAGUCAGUCAUGUCAGCUAGAAAUCAAGCUUGCUUCUGCAAGGUGCACUUUCUAGUUGGUAGGUCAGCAUCAAUUUUGACUGUUGGAUAAAGUCAUUGGGAAUGUAGCAUCUUUGGAUGUGUUAUAGCCCAUUGUUGGAUACAACAAUCAGGAUUGAGGAACUCAGCAUGCCCCCUUGGGGGUCAGGUUUUUAACCAUGUUCAUGCUUAGGAUGCUGGCGUAAUGGCUUUAAUCGACCCGUCUUGAAACACGGACCAAGGAGUC
RNAcentral lists this ribosomal RNA (271 nucleotides) under uncultured Inocybe. RNAcentral describes it as "partial large subunit ribosomal RNA". It matches the Rfam family "Eukaryotic large subunit ribosomal RNA", at positions 419 to 675 of the family's 3401-position model. Lineage: Eukaryota; Fungi; Basidiomycota; Agaricomycetes; Agaricales; Cortinariaceae. The record is from RNAcentral.